UAGGAGCACAAAUGCUCCAGUGUGAAACUGACUUCUCCUGGGGAUGGUAGGGCUUCCUCUGUGGUCCAGUAAUGGUGACGUCCCUAACUGGCAGCCUGGGCCCCAGCGUCAGGAGUUGGGCUCAUGGUGACACAAAGGCUCCUUGGAUGCAAGAGCACAAACACCUCAGUGUGAAGGUUUCCUCUGGAGAAGGAGCAUUUCACUAUCCAACAAAAUGUUUAUUCCAGGAUUUUGGUUGAUUUCAUUAAUCAGAAAAUGCAUUUUAGAAGAAAAUGAGUCUCUGAUCUCAGGAUUUGUCUGAUCUCUCACGAUUGGGAUGGCCCAUUCCUAGAGGGGUAAGGUCCCACGUUGUUAGGAAAACUCAUUUUUAGCCAGUUAUGAAGUCUUAUAUUCUACAAAGAAAAAAUAGGUGAAGGACAGAGAAAGGAAGCAGAGGAAAGAUGAGAAAAUAACAAAUAUUUUUUAAAAAGGGAGAACAAUCCUGGAAAACUGAUAUAGGCCAUAUUACUCCGAAGUCAAUACAUCAGUAGGGAGAAGACCUGGAAAACACUGCUAGACCAACUCAAAAUUACAAAGUUUUCCAGAGCUUAUAUGUCUUCUAAGCCAUAUGUCUAUGUGUAAGUAUGCAUUCAUCUAAAGACAUAAGUGAUUAACUUCUUUUAAUCUGUAACUAAGAUCUGAGUUCUGAAGACCUUCCUCUGGAGCCUGAGUAAAUUUACUUAAUCUAAAUGGGUCCAGGUUCCGGGGUGAUUACCCUUAUCUUGUCUCCUGCUAAAUCAUGGAGGAUUGGGAAGUUCCUUCAGACCCCAGUAAACUUGUUUGUGGAGGCCUGGGGAGUUUCUUCAGACCCCCAAUAAAACUUGCUUAAUCCUAAAUGUAUCCUGUUAAGAAUUCCUUCAUUAUCUUGUCAUGUUUCAAGGCCAGGAAAGGCUUAGGCAAAACUCUUGGUGGGCUUCUGUUACAGCCCAGCCUUUGCAUAAGGUCACUGGCCCUUUCAGCUUUUAAUAUUUAACUUAAUCAGUCAGUGCUGAAACAGUUGUUAUGAAGGCCCGCAUUAGUGAGACCUGGCCUGCCACACUUGGACUUCCUGUUUUAUCUUAAAUAUCCGCUUUCUUAAAUAACCAGUCAUUUUAUUUUGGGACAAAAAAUUUACCAUACAAAUUCUUUCUCAUAUAAAAUUAUUUUCCUUUUAACCUUUAUUAUCUUUUGCCUUGUUUCAUAAAUAACCUUUGAAUUAGAAAUUAUUUCCCUUUAAUAAGAACAUUUUUUAAAGAAAAAUGUUUGCUUGCUAUAAUAUAAUUUUUAAAAAUCAGGUAACAAUACAAAAGCAAGCAGUUUAAGAUCAGAGGGAACCUGUCUGUUUAUAUUCUUGGGGUUCCAUAUGGAAGAACAGAGAUUUCUCCCCAGAAAGGAGUCUGGUGCCUUCUCUCUUUUCUUUAAGGAAUCCCAGGCUGUUAGAAAUUAUUUAGAUCCUUCAUGCAGCAGAGAGUGGCAAGAGGAAGGAGAGACAGGCCAAAGUAAUUUGAGGAAACAGAACUCAGUCAACUGAGAAGCAAAAAACUUUUUCUCAAAAAACAAGAUCCUAGGACAGAGAAAAAGCAUAAAGGCCUUAUAUUCAUACACACACAUCUUGGAUAUUAGCUUUUAAUUAAGCUGAGUUUUAACCACUGAGCUCUUAAAAAUCCUUUUAAAUCUCUUUUAACCAUGUUUUAGCUGGGACAACCUGCUGAUAUUUCAAAAGUACUAAUAACACAAAAUUUAAGCCAGAAAGGACCUGAUUCAGGAACCAAACCCAGGCUGCUAUGGUGAAAGCAGGCAGAACCUUUAGCUACUGAACUACGCUGCGGGGCAGCCACCAUAGUUCUUUCAGUUUGGGCUUGGCUGGCGAAAGAUGGCCUUGUUAUGUAAACAAAGCCCCUCAGGUAGUCAAAAUCUUUCUUUUCUUCCUUUUGCUGGCUUUUUUAUUUUUUUUUUCCAGCUGCAGGAAUGUAGACAAUUCAGAGGCUUUGUUCCCCAUAAUUUGGAACUUUUCUUCAGAUUUGACCAAGUCGGGUAGAGAUGAUCAAACCUAAUGGGAAAAAGACUGAAACAACAAAAACAGAAACAGGCAAACACAACCAGACCCCCCCCCAAUCGUAAAGAGAUUAACUAAGAUCUGAAUAGGAAACAUUUGUCAUCUAUUGUCCCUAAGGGCAGCCACCAUAAGACUUCCAGAGAACUUUGGUCUCCACAAUCUUUUAUCUUAACCCGAACAUUCCUUUUCUAUCAAUCCCGGGUCUUUAGGCAAACUCAACCAAUUGUCAACCAGAAGAUGUUUAAAUUCACCUAUAGCCUGGAAGCACACCCCACCCUAUCCCGUUUUUGAGUUGUCCCGCCUUUCUGGACCAAACCAAUGUAUUUCCUAAAUGUAUUUGAUUGAUGUCUCAUGCUUCUCUAAAAUGUAUACAACCAAGCCGUGCCCUGACCACCUGGGGCACAUGUUCUCAGGACCUCCUGAGGGCUGUGUCACAGGCCACGGUCACUCGGCUCAGAAUAAAUCUCUUCAAUUGAGAGAGUAUAAGGAAUCCGAAGGUUGCCCUGCACACGG
This 2587-nucleotide long non-coding RNA is filed under the name Homo sapiens (human). RNAcentral's name for it is "long non-coding RNA NONHSAT189403.1". The record is from RNAcentral. Lineage: Eukaryota; Metazoa; Chordata; Mammalia; Primates; Hominidae.